Molecule: ribosomal RNA, 468 nt
Filed under: uncultured bacterium
Lineage: Bacteria
Description: partial 16S ribosomal RNA
Rfam family: Bacterial small subunit ribosomal RNA
Source: RNAcentral
GACGAACGCUGGCGGCGUGCUUAACACAUGCAAGUCGAACGGAAAGGCCCUGCGUUUGUGGGGUGCUCGAGUGGCGAACGGGUGAGUAACACGUGAGUAACCUGCCCUUGACUGUGGGAUAACUUCAGGAAACUGGGGCUAAUACCGGAUAGGAGCUCCUGCUGCAUGGGGGGGGUUGGAAAGUGUCGGCGGUGGGGGAUGGACUCGCGGCUUAUCAGCUUGUUGGUGGGGUAGUGGCUUACCAAGGCUUUGACGGGUAGCCGGCCUGGGAGGGGGACCGGCCACAUUGGGCCUGAGAUACGGCCCAGUCUCCUACGGGAGGCAGCAGUGGAGAAUAUUGCACAGUGGGCGGAAGCCUGAUGCAGCAACGCCGCGUGCGGGAUGCCGGCCUUCGGGUUGUAAACCGCUUUCGCCUGUGACGAAGCGUGAGUGACGGUAAUGGGUAAAGAAGCACCGGCUAACUACGUG